GGAAAUCAUUUCCAGGGAGAGCAUUUCCACCAAUAUGAGACAAUUAACAGAAUCAUGUUUUUCUAGCAAACAUGUUAAACCAGAGUGCAAUCCAAAGCAAUUUCCAGCCAUUAUAAAAAAAAAGCCUAGAAUGGCAAUGCGACUCCAGGAAAUAGUCCAUAACAUGGUGGGCCGAUGGGGGUUCAAGAUGUCAUUGGAAAAUGUCCUAUCACAGGGGGACAUGAGAAGUAGGACGCAGCAGAGGCAGCAUAAUGUCGCCUCCUGCCAACAAACAUGAAGGAAGUCUACAAGGAAUUAGAGGAUGUUGCAAGAUAUCACAUAUGCACACUCACACACAAACACACACGCUGAAUGUGAUAUCUCCCACCAAGUGUCACAUACUUUAUUCUAGUCAUGGAACAUGCUCACCCUGCACGCACACACACACUUGUUGUGACAGCUUGUUAUAUUUGAGGUUAGCGGUCCUGUAGUGAAUUGUAAUUGAUUUAUGCUGAUGGGUAGUUUGGGGAUUUCUCUGUCCUGUUUUUUUUUUUUUCCCUUUCAAACACGCACACACACACACACACACACACACACACACACACACACACACACACACACCACCCAUGUGAUGCUCCACCUGUGUGUUCUCACAGUUUCAUUUCCAUAUUCAUGGCUAAGCUGUGAUUUGAGGUGCAGGCCGAGGUGAAUAGAUAACUUAUCAAAGCCGAGCGUCGGGAGCUGUGAGGUGUGUGUUUACUGUGUUGUAUAGUCAUACAGACACAGUGUCCCUAAGCUCCUGAUUCUCCAACCUCAGCUGGAAUAUAAAGCAGGACAGAACGGUGGCAGUGGACCCUCCUGAGAGAGAAAGGAUGGAGAGAGUCCGGUUCACUCCAAGCACCACACACUCAUUAGAUUCUCAUUCACACAUGAUAGUAGCCUGGAGAAUUUGAAAACGCACUCACCGGCUCCCAUACAAGUAAGGCUGUCCCCAGAAACUCUCUCUCUCUCUCACACACACACACAUUAGGUCCCAUUUUCAAAUUCAUGAUGGAUGUAGCAUUUCUCUGCAUGAAUAUGGAUGUGUUUGCAGGGCGUUCCAGCGUGGAGCAUUUUCCAUUUCCAAUCUCUUCCACCUUAUAACUGUAGAUAGAUUUCUUCACUCUGUAAUUUGGCUGUUGAAAACACCCAUGAGGCACGGGGAGAAAUAAGAGUCCAAACACACACACACACACUCACACACAGACAGACUCUCUCUCCCCAUUAAAGGUGGAGGUAUUCAAACACACUCGCUUUGUGAAAACUGUGAUAAAAACGUCAUUUUUAGAGGGGCACUGGUGAUAAUGAUUCAAAUCACUUUAUGGGACUGAGGCUGUUUAACAGAGUGGUGCUCAGCUCCAGGCAUGUGUGUGCUUGUGUUUGUAUAUGUGUGCAUUUUGAACAAGCAUAUAUAUUUUUGAGGGCUUUCUUAAAGCAUGAAGUUCUUUGUUGUUGGUUCAGCUCGGCUUUGAUAGCUGUGGCAACUCUUAUAAAAUGCACACUUAGUGAGAGAUAACACACACUCUCCAUACUGUAAAUAAUACAUACCUCAUCCCUCCAAAUCAAUUCUCAUCACUGCCUUUGAGAUGUAAUCAAGGUCUAUCUGCCCUUGCAGAUAUUUUGGGAUGUUUGUAUUAUUUAUUAGUGUACUUAUAACUAAUCCACAAAGAGCUUUUCAGGCUUAUGCAAUUGUAUAAGUUUGCUUAAGGGUGUUUUUCCUCUUCUGCCAUCUUUCUUUUGUGUGUUUGUUGACACAGAUGAUUUGACCAAAUAAUUCUUCCAGACCACGCCUGGAGAAGAUAUUAUUUGUCCAUCUGCAGAAGCUCAGCAUAGUCAGAACAGAAUUCGCCUGAGCCAGAAGUGUGGCAUUUGGAUGAUCCAACCAUUUCAAUGUCAAUAUCCAAAAUAAGACAGCAACUGCCUACAAAAACAGUCAAGUUAAAUUGAGUUACAGGAUGGUAGCUGCCCAAAUCACAAUGCAUUUACGGCCAAUUU
This is a non-coding RNA of Xyrichtys novacula (pearly razorfish), 2013 nucleotides long. NCBI's taxonomy places the organism in Eukaryota, Metazoa, Chordata, Actinopteri, Labriformes, Labridae. The record is from the annotation of a GenBank genome assembly.